UAUUAAUUUAUUAUUUAUGAUUAUGAAAUUUUUAGUUUAAUUUAUUUAUUUUUAGUAUUAUGAAGAAAUAAUUAGUUUAUUAUUACUGUCAAGGAAUUAUUAUUAAUAUCAUAUUAGUAUUUUUGAUAGUACCUUUUGUAUCAGGGUUGAUUUAUUUAUUAAUUUAUAUUUUUUGUCCCGAAUUUAGGGUAUCUAGAAGUAAAUUUUUUUUAUAAGUUUUAUAUUGUUAAUUAAUUUAUUUUUAGUAAUUAUAAGUUAUUCGUCCCUUAAUUAUAUCUGGUUUUGUAGGAAGUGAAUUAAAUUUAGCUUUUAAUUUUAAGGUUAUAUAAUGGGGGAUAAUCUCUAUUUUUUAUUAAAAUUUAGGCACUAAUAUUUUUAUUAUCAUUAGUAUCUUUGUAUUAAGUUCGUAGUAGAUUUUAAUUAUUAUUUAUGAUUUUUUUUUAUUUAUUUUUAUACUACAAUUGUAUAGUGAAUUUUUAUUUAUUUUUAUUAAUGAUUAAAUUAGUAUAAUUUUUAUUUAUUGAUUUAUGAAUUCGACAGUUUUAAUUUUCAACUGUUUAUCAAAAACAUUUCUUUAAGAUUUAUAUUUAAAGUAGGUUCUGCCCUAUGAUAGAGAUAAAAUUUAAAUGGCUGCAGUAUUCUGACUGUACAAAGGUAGCAUAAUAAUUAGUUUCUUAAUUAGGGACUUGUAUGAAUGAAUUAAUGAAAAAUUUAUUUUAUUAUAAUUAUUUUUGUAAUUUAAUUUUUAGGUUAAAAAGCCUAACUGUAUUAUUGGGACGAUAAGACCCUAUAGAACUUAAAAAUUUUUUAACUAUUUUGUAUUUUAGGCUUAGUUAUAUAUAUUUAUUUAAUUUUUUUACUGGGGUGGUAAAUAAAUGUUUAACUUUAUUUUUUUAGUUCAUUAAUUUAUGAUUAAGAUUGAUCCAUUAGGUUUAAUGAUUAUAAGAUUAAGUUACCUUAGGGAUAACAGCGUAAUUUUAAUGGAAAGUUCAUAUUUAUAUUAAAGUUUGCGACCUCGAUGUUGAAUUAAGAUAAUAUUAAGGGGUAGGUUCUUUAAGGUUAGGUCUGUUCGACCUUUAAAUUCUUACAUGAUUUGAGUUCAAACCGGUGUAAGCCAGGUUGGUUUCUAUCUAAUUAAUUAUUAAUUUAUUUAGUACGAAAGGACCAAUAAAUUCUAUAAUUAAUAGUUUUAUUUGAAUUAUAU
This 1204-nucleotide ribosomal RNA is filed under the name Idioscopus ventrispinus. RNAcentral's name for it is "16S ribosomal RNA". The record is from RNAcentral. Lineage: Eukaryota; Metazoa; Arthropoda; Insecta; Hemiptera; Cicadellidae.